Molecule: transfer RNA, 361 nt
Filed under: uncultured Microcystis sp.
Lineage: Bacteria; Bacillati; Cyanobacteriota; Cyanophyceae; Chroococcales; Microcystaceae
Description: partial 16S-23S ribosomal RNA intergenic spacer
Rfam family: tRNA (bases 136-209)
Source: RNAcentral
AAAGGGAGACCUAAUUCAGGUAGGAGACGAAAAAAAAGUAGUCGCUACCAAGAAUCAAUCCCAAAAGGUCGGAGCGAGGCGAAAUUGGCUUUCAAACUAGGUUCUGGGUUCACACAAGACCUGAAUCAGGAACAAGGGCUAUUAGCUCAGGUGGUUAGAGCGCACCCCUGAUAAGGGUGAGGUCCCUGGUUCGAGUCCAGGAUGGCCCACCUGCACAGGUGGCAAAAACAAGAGAAGCGAGGAAUCAGCACCUUAUCUUACUUAUAUAGUAAGAGAGAAUGCUGGCUCUGAGUAAAGAGUCCAGAGGAACCUUGAAAACUGCAUAGAGCUAGGUGAAAAAGCCAAAAAAGAAGACCGCAAG